GCUCCAGUGGCGCAAUCGGUUAGCGCGCGGUACUUAUAAUGCCGAGGUUGUGAGUUCAAUCCUCACCUGGAGCA
Non-coding RNA from Etheostoma spectabile (orangethroat darter), 74 nucleotides. The record is from the annotation of a RefSeq genome assembly. NCBI's taxonomy places the organism in Eukaryota, Metazoa, Chordata, Actinopteri, Perciformes, Percidae.